CCCUUAGAUGUUCUGGGCCGCACGCGUGCUACACUGAGUGGAUCAGCGGGUCAGGUUACGCGAGAGCGUUUCCUGAUCUUCAAAUCCGCUCGUGAUGGGGAUUGACGGUUGCAAUUUUCCGUCAUGAACGAGGAAUACCUUGUAAGCGCGGGUCAUCAUCCCGCGCUGAAUACGUCCCUGCCCUUUGUACACACCGCCCGUCGCUCCUACCGAUUGAGUGGUCCGGUGAGGCUUUGGGAUCUAAGCGAAAAGAGCGUUUCGCUCCUUUUGCUGGGAGAACUCAGUCGAACCUUAUCAUUUAGAGGAAGGAGAAGUCGUAACA
RNAcentral lists this ribosomal RNA (322 nucleotides) under uncultured eukaryote. RNAcentral's name for it is "partial 18S ribosomal RNA". It matches the Rfam family "Eukaryotic small subunit ribosomal RNA", at positions 1470 to 1796 of the family's 1831-position model. The record is from RNAcentral.